Molecule: ribosomal RNA, 142 nt
Filed under: Chaetospermum artocarpi
Lineage: Eukaryota; Fungi; Basidiomycota; Agaricomycetes; Sebacinales; Sebacinaceae
Description: partial 28S ribosomal RNA
Source: RNAcentral
GCGUGAUAAGUAUCUUCGCUGGCUCUCCUUCGGGAGGUGUUCGAACGUUUAGCUCUGCGCUUCUAAUCGUCCCUUGGGACUAAGCCUCGGCUUACUUUGACAACUUGACCUCAAAUCGAGUAGGACUACCCGCUGAACUUAA